Molecule: ribosomal RNA, 465 nt
Filed under: uncultured Klebsiella sp.
Lineage: Bacteria; Pseudomonadati; Pseudomonadota; Gammaproteobacteria; Enterobacterales; Enterobacteriaceae
Description: bacterial SSU rRNA
Rfam family: Bacterial small subunit ribosomal RNA
Source: RNAcentral
CCUACGGGUGGCAGCAGUGGGGAAUAUUGCACAAUGGGCGCAAGCCUGAUGCAGCCAUGCCGCGUGUGUGAAGAAGGCCUUCGGGUUGUAAAGCACUUUCAGCGGGGAGGAAGGCGGUGAGGUUAAUAACCUCAUCGAUUGACGUUACCCGCAGAAGAAGCACCGGCUAACUCCGUGCCAGCAGCCGCGGUAAUACGGAGGGUGCAAGCGUUAAUCGGAAUUACUGGGCGUAAAGCGCACGCAGGCGGUCUGUCAAGUCGGAUGUGAAAUCCCCGGGCUCAACCUGGGAACUGCAUUCGAAACUGGCAGGCUAGAGUCUUGUAGAGGGGGGUAGAAUUCCAGGUGUAGCGGUGAAAUGCGUAGAGAUCUGGAGGAAUACCGGUGGCGAAGACGGCCCCCUGGACAAAGACUGACGCUCAGGUGCGAAAGCGUGGGGAGCAAACAGGAUUAGAUACCCCUGUAGUC